This 466-nucleotide ribosomal RNA is filed under the name Vreelandella stevensii. RNAcentral's name for it is "partial 16S ribosomal RNA". It matches the Rfam family "Bacterial small subunit ribosomal RNA", at positions 338 to 795 of the family's 1533-position model. The record is from RNAcentral. Lineage: Bacteria; Pseudomonadati; Pseudomonadota; Gammaproteobacteria; Oceanospirillales; Halomonadaceae.
CCUACGGGGGGCAGCAGUGGGGAAUAUUGGACAAUGGGGGGAACCCUGAUCCAGCCAUGCCGCGUGUGUGAAGAAGGCCCUCGGGUUGUAAAGCACUUUCAGUGAGGAAGAACGCCUGGUGGUUAAUACCCAUCAGGAAAGACAUCACUCACAGAAGAAGCACCGGCUGAACUCCGUGCCAGCAGCCGCGGUAAUACGGAGGGUGCGAGCGUUAAUCGGAAUUACUGGGCGUAAAGCGCGCGUAGGUGGCUUGAUAAGCCGGUUGUGAAAGCCCCGGGCUCAACCUGGGAACGGCAUCCGGAACUGUCAAGCUAGAGUGCAGGAGAGGAAGGUAGAAUUCCCGGUGUAGCGGUGAAAUGCGUAGAGAUCGGGAGGAAUACCAGUGGCGAAGGCGGCCUUCUGGACUGACACUGACACUGAGGUGCGAAAGCGUGGGUAGCAAACAGGAUUAGAUACCCUGGUAGUC